RNAcentral lists this ribosomal RNA (462 nucleotides) under uncultured bacterium. Its description in RNAcentral is "partial 16S ribosomal RNA". It matches the Rfam family "Bacterial small subunit ribosomal RNA", at positions 28 to 507 of the family's 1533-position model. The record is from RNAcentral.
GACGAACGCUGGCGGCGUGCUUAACACAUGCAAGUCGAGCGGUAAGGCCUUUCGGGGUACACGAGCGGCGAACGGGUGAGUAACACGUGGGUGAUCUGCCCUGCACUUCGGGAUAAGCCUGGGAAACUGGGUCUAAUACCGGAUAUGACCUCCUAUCGCAUGGUGGGUGGUGGAAAGAUUUAUCGGUGCAGGAUGGGCCCGCGGCCUAUCAGCUUGUUGGUGGGGUAAUGGCCUACCAAGGCGACGACGGGUAGCCGACCUGAGAGGGUGACCGGCCACACUGGGACUGAGACACGGCCCAGACUCCUACGGGAGGCAGCAGUGGGGAAUAUUGCACAAUGGGCGAAAGCCUGAUGCAGCGACGCCGCGUGAGGGAUGACGGCCUUCGAGUUGUAAACCUCUUUCAGCAGGGACGAAGCGCAAGUGACGGUACCUGCAGAAGAAGCACCGGCUAACUACGUG